CAUGUGAACUUCACUCGAGAAGAAUGGGCUUUGCUGGAUCCUUCACAGAAGAGUCUCUACAAAGAUGUGAUGCAGGAGACCUACAGGAACCUCACUGCUAUAGGUUACAAUUGGGAAGACCAUACUAUUGAAGAACAUUGUCAAAGUUUCAGAAGACAUGGAAGGUAAUUUUCAUGUGCAAGUUGGUAUGAAUAUGCCUCUGAAGAAAUGUUAGUAUGUCCUGGAACUUUUAAAGAAAAGCAACAGUGGUAAAGAAAAAAUAAGUUUAUUGAUUAUUAAAUUCUCACAAAUCCAUGU
Molecule: long non-coding RNA, 297 nt
Filed under: Rattus norvegicus (Norway rat)
Lineage: Eukaryota; Metazoa; Chordata; Mammalia; Rodentia; Muridae
Description: long non-coding RNA NONRATT006389
Source: RNAcentral